This is a long non-coding RNA of Alnus glutinosa, 200 nucleotides long. RefSeq lists it as uncharacterized. The transcript has 3 exons. NCBI's taxonomy places the organism in Eukaryota, Viridiplantae, Streptophyta, Magnoliopsida, Fagales, Betulaceae. The record is from RefSeq and is a predicted model, not a curated record.
AUGUUGUACGUUGCUGAUCCCGAAAUUCAGGAGGAAAAGAUUGACAGCUCCCUUGAGUUUCUUAUCCUUGCUAGUGAUGGACUGUGGGAUGUUGUCACAAAUGAGGAGGCUGUUGCAAUGGUUAAACUACUUCCGAAGCCAGAACAGGCAACAAAGAGGCUGAUGCAGGAAGCAUAUCAGAGAGGUAGUGCAGAUAAUAU